Molecule: ribosomal RNA, 513 nt
Filed under: uncultured archaeon
Lineage: Archaea
Description: bacterial SSU rRNA
Rfam family: Archaeal small subunit ribosomal RNA
Source: RNAcentral
CGGGGGGCAGCAGGCGCGAAACCUUUACAAUGCACGCAAGUGUGACAAGGGAAUCCCAAGUGCUUAUGCACUGCAUAGGCUUUUGCUAAGAGUAAGUAUCUUGGCGAAUAAGUGGUGGGUAAGACUGGUGCCAGCAGCCGCGGUAACACCAGCGCCACGAGUGGCAAUCAUAAUUAUUGGGCCUAAAGCGUCCGUAGCCGGUUUGAUAAGUCUUUUGUGAAAUCGUUGUGCUUAACAUAACGGUGUGCAAGAGAUACUGUCAGACUUGGAACUGGGAGGAGCAAGAGGUAUGCCGCGGGGACUGGUAAAAUGGUAUAAUCCGCGGUAGACCACCGAUGGCGAAGGCAUCUUGCCAGAACGGAUCUGACGGUGAGGGACGAAAGCCAGGGGAGCGAACCGGAUUAGAUACCCGAGUAGUCCUGGCCGUAAACGCUGUGAGCUAGGUGUAGCCCAUCCUACGGGGAUGGGCUGUGUCGAAACGAAGGUGCUAAGCUCACGGGCCUGGGAAGUACG